Paramisgurnus dabryanus is the source of this 490-nucleotide non-coding RNA. The record is from RefSeq and is a predicted model, not a curated record. NCBI's taxonomy places the organism in Eukaryota, Metazoa, Chordata, Actinopteri, Cypriniformes, Cobitidae.
UGUAUGAGUGGAUAUAAUGUCACAGACCCGAAUCUCCGAAUAAACAUCAGUAACCCAUGCACAGAUAUUAAUGAAUGUCUUGACCCAUCAUCAGUGUGUGGGCCGAACGCUUACUGUCACAAUUACAAUGGAAGUUACUCGUGCUCUUGUUGGGAAGGAUAUAACAUCAUUAAUGGAAAUCAAAGUAUUAGUGACAGUAACCCAUGCACUGAUGUGAAUGAAUGUGAUGAGAUACCUGAGGUCUGUGGUCCAAACUCAAUCUGCAUCAACACUGAUGGGAGUUACAAUUGCUCGUGUAUGAGUGGAUAUAAUGUAACAGACCCGAACCUCCCUAUAAACAUCAGUAAUCCAUGCAGAGAUAUUUAUGAAUGUCUUGACUCAUCAUCAGUGUGUGGGCCGAACGCUUACUGUCACAAUUACAAUGGAAGUUACACAUGUUCUUGUUGGGAAGGAUAUAACAUCACUGAUGUAUCUCACAAUAUUUGUAACA